AUUUAUUGUAGCAGUGCUCCUCAGUAGCUUUAAAUAAAAAUUCUUUACCUGGUCAUCUCUGCUCAGGUGAACUGCCCAUCUGGUCUAAUUGCAGGUCAUUUAUACUUCAUCGAUCAGUGACAUACACAUAUCCUCUGCGUCUUUUAUUUUUAAAUGUUCUUGGCAAAUAACAAGUUCUUGACAACUAAGUAAAGUCUUUGCAGAAAGUUUGCAUAAAUGAGAUAAAGCAGUUGUAUUUCUUGCUUUCAGUUUGUUUUCUUCAGACUACCUCUAAAUUUCCAAUAAUGGCAAUACAUUCAUUCUGCCAUUUGGAGGAGCCUGUGCCACAGAAUAAUGAUGUGAAGAAAUCUAAUUUAUUUGCAAGGAAGAGUCUUCAUUUGUGAACUAGUACCCAUGCAGCAAAGAGGUGCUUUGUUAAGUUCAGAACUAUUAUUGUUCCUAACGCAGUCUCCUGUAUGUGGACAAAGUUGUUUUUUCUUCAAAAAAUAAACAGAAUGCUGUCUCUGAAGAGUAAAAAGGUCUUUGACAUUCAGUGGGAUGAGAAUCUCAAAACAGACUGACUACUGUGGACUCCCCAGCUACAGUUCAGAUCAGUGUCUUGCCUCGCUUCUCUGAUGUGCAAAUGAAGCUCGUCCAGUAUGUGUUACUCAAGAAAGAAUUAAGAAAAUUGAAGUCAGAACAUCUGAACUUGGAUCACUUGCAAAUAAGGAAGAUCCGCAUGCACGUGUUCUGUAAAGAUAAUGUUGAACGGAUCCAGAAACUGUUUUGGUAGCUGCAGUUUGCUUGUCUGAAAUCCCUUCAGAAGCUUGAGUGCAAAGCAAGCACAGUACUAGUGAUGGAUGUGAAUGGAUAUCUUAAGGAUAACAGUGGAUAUGGUGUCUUCAGAAACGGUGGCAUUAUGAAGGUGUACUUAUGUUGAUUUGUCUGGCUACAUGCUGAUCUCAGAAGACACAACUCUAUGGCAGUAGGGGGAAGAACAGUAUUGUACUCCUGGAUAACAGCAAGAAUGACAGCCCUGAUGAAUUGGCGGAUCAGACUGAAGACUGUUACGUCCUUCUGAGAUGACACAGGAAAGUUACAGGUAGAGGGAAAGCACGGGGCCCUUCCCUUUUUCCCUGUAGGCUGGAUGCAAGUGCUGUCGCUGAAUUUAGGAUAUCAUGAUAUUCCAGAGUGUAGUCCCUGGUUCUGUGCUCGUGUUCCAUUGUAAAACUCUGUAGUGUCUUUACUGCUGCUGUUACACAUUCCUGUUACAUCAAAGCCUGCGUUUCGGUGCAGGAAAACCUUACCAAGUAGACAUUUUUCUGAAACACCACCUUUUCUUUUUGGUGAUUGUAUAUUAUUCUAGGUAUAUGCUACUGUAAGUUAUUAUUAGUAUGGUAGGGAGAAACAUCAGCAUAAGAAGUGACUUCAUCUAACGCACUGCCAAGCUAGAACUUCUCACAACCUUCAGAUGGGCACAAGAGCGAGUGUUUUUAUAGCAGUAAUAUUACUUUCUGUCAGUUUUAGAGUUUUAAAAUACGGUAAGAUUACCUCAUUUUCGUUUUUGCCACCACAUUACUAAGAGACUAAAAAUCUACACGUCUAGAAAUGAGGUGUUGGUGAUUAAGAUAAAAAUAUCCCCUUUAUUGGUUUUACUCUCAUUUCUUUAAAAUAAUAAAACAAAUCAUGUAUAAAUACGAAAAAACAGCAAUAUGCAGGAGGUGAGCAAAUGCACACUGCAGGUACUCGUGUCUGCCUGAGGGGGAAUCUACUGUGAUCAGUUAAUGCUGUACAAACCUCUUUAUGCACAAUAUCAUUGUAGCCUUUUCCUUAGCUGCAGCAUUUUGUGGUAAAAAUGUAAAUCUUUUAAUAGUCUAGGCACUCAGAUUAUUUUCUGGGACUAGUUUGAUGUCUCUUUAGUUGUGGGCUGUGCUACCUGGUUCAUCCUUGUUCUGUUUAUAAGUUUAUUUAUAUAUUUUUAGUUCUGCCAUUGGGUUUGUCCAAAUGCACCUUGCUAGCUGUGGGUCUGACUGAGUUAACGGGACUCUGAAUGACUGGAAGUUUGUACUCUGAAGAUCUGACUGUAGGCCUGAACCUGAAUUUUUACUUUAUUCCCCUAUUUGCUUCUAAUUCAUGAAAAAUGUCCUCUAAAGUGUCUUCAGGACCUAAUGUACAUCUGCCUUAGUACCAUUCAUACCCUAUGUUCUCUGGAUAUUGUCAGAUACGGUGAAAAUAUUUCUGUUAUGUCAUGUGUCAAAAACUCUUGAUGGAUGUGAUUACUGUGUUGUAUUUUUACAUUUAAUGGCUUCACCUAAAACAGGAGAGAGAAUCACCUGUGUUUUCAGUAGUUGUGGUAUUUCUCUUAGCUCAGAUUCUGAAGCCAGAGUAACUACUUGAACUGUAUUCAGGUAAUUUUUAAAGAUGUUGGUAGAUUUCUUUUUUUAUUCUUUGGGCACAAAGUACAUUUAUUUUAUUUUGCACCGUGCUAUUUUCUUAGUAGCCUAUUAUUACUAAAAGCUUUCAAUAUGAUGAUACACUGUGAUGCAGACCAAUAAAAUAAGCAGGAAAAGGCAAUAACUUUUACUAGCUCUCCUGUUGUUUUUCUAUUUUUGUGGAUGCAGUUACAUGACAUACUAUACAGCUGGAAGGGAAGAUAUUUUCAUUUUUGUGAAUCGCGUAAUGUCUUCUGCUUACACGGAAUGCUGUUCCCUGUCCUAUUCCAUAUGACUGUUACACUUUCAUUGAGUACUAAAGUUAAAUAGCCCCGAUGCAAACUGUAAAGGACUUUGCAAGUCACAUUAAAAAUAGAGUUAGAGGGGAAAAAUGGAUAUGCUCCAUCUCUACCUGUGUUAGUAUUUGUAUUGCAUAGACUUUUUAAAGCAAGCACGUACCAAUAUAGGAAAAUUAAUGAAUGAAAAGAUCCAAAGCUUUCUCUGUAUUUAGCAAGUCAGGAAUAGCUUCUUUUUUUUUUUUCUUUCUAGGUUUAUUAAAAUGAUAUCUAAAAGCUUUGCAGUGUUUAAUGGCUUUUUGCAUAUUCCCAGAACAACAGGAAAACAUCGUUGUCCUGCCGUACAGUUGAGAGAACAGCCACUCAGAAGCAAAGCCAAGGUUGUUAUUUGGGUCCUCCUGCAUUUUAACCUCAUGCCUCCAGCUCCCUUUCUCCCGCAAAAACCCAAAGCCUCCGUUAUAAUCAGAUGCUUCGUAUUUCUGCGCACAAGGCCUAAGGUGUUUCAGUUUGGGCUCCCAAAUGAGGAACACAGCGUCGGUGGCCAUCUGCCAAGGUGUUUGGUCUGACUCCCUCCUUCUUCGCAGAAAGCCUAUGGCAAAGGCAGAGGCAGAACUGAAUGUUCCUGUGUGGCGUUCAACUGCCUUAACCGCAUGCCCAUUGCUCUCUUCCUGCAGUUGUCUGUCUGCUUCUCUGCACAACUUCGAGAGCAAACACAUAUAGGAACCUAUAAAUAAUCUAAUUCGAUGCACAACCCUGAUUCAUUUCCUGAGCAGCGUGUGUCCCGCACACGCAGGGCGGCCGCGGUCCUGUGGAAAACUUGAGCAGAAUGGAUGAGGCCAAGUUAAUACCAUUAAGCAUUUAAACUUUGCAAUGAAAUAUUAUUCUAAUGGAGCUUAUUAUAGCUGUAGCUUGGAGUAUUUUUAACAAGGGAUGAGGAAAAAAAAAAAAAAAGAACGCUUUUAUUUAUAGUCGUAACUGUUUUCCUGUCUAACAUUUGAAUGUGAAUAUUCAGCUCGGUGAAAUGCAGAGCAUCAACCAGGAGGAGGAGGCGGCUGGUCUCCUUAGGGAGGAAGGGGAGAAAGAGUUCUGGGUCGCAAACACCAUGGGCAGUAACUCUAUUUUGCCCUUGAGUCUCGGGGCCAGGCUGUGGAGAGUUUACCCUAACUUUUGGUUUUCC
This is a long non-coding RNA of Cygnus atratus (black swan), 3884 nucleotides long. RefSeq lists it as uncharacterized. Lineage: Eukaryota; Metazoa; Chordata; Aves; Anseriformes; Anatidae. The transcript is spliced from 6 exons. The record is from RefSeq and is a predicted model, not a curated record.